Passer domesticus (house sparrow) is the source of this 3918-nucleotide RNA transcript. It is a transcript of the gene named cathepsin O, with no coding region annotated. The record is from RefSeq and is a predicted model, not a curated record. Lineage: Eukaryota; Metazoa; Chordata; Aves; Passeriformes; Passeridae. The transcript is spliced from 9 exons.
UGGGGUUGCGUGCCCGGGCGCUCCCCGCCAUGGCGCGGUGGCCGCUGGCGGUGCUGGCGCUGCUCCCGUGCCUGCUGCGGCCGGGCAGCGCCGCCCUCACGGCGCCCGCGGGCGCCCGGCUGCGGGAGCGGGGUGGCGGCGGCCGGGAGCGAGAGGGAGCGGCGGCGGCUCUGCGGGAAAGUGCUAAAAGAAUUAGAUUAUUGAAUUCAUUAUCAAAAGAUAAUACGACUGCUGUCUAUGGAAUCAAUCAGUUUUCUCACCUGUUUCCUGAAGAGUUCAAAGCUAUUUACUUGAGAAGCAUGCCUCACAAAGUUCCCAGAUAUAUAAAAGUGCCAAAGGGGAAGGAAAAGCCUCUGCCAGUGAAGUUUGACUGGAGGGACAAGAAAGUCAUUGCAGGAGUGAGAAAUCAGCAGACAUGUGGAGGCUGCUGGGCUUUCAGCGUGGUAGGUGGCAUAGAAUCUGCCUAUGCAAUUAAAAGAAGCACCCUGGAAGAGCUCAGUGUGCAGCAAGUUAUUGACUGCUCUUACAAUAACUACGGCUGCAGCGGGGGAUCCACUGUUAGCGCUCUGAGCUGGCUGAACCAGACCAAAGUAAAACUCGUGAGAGAUUCAGAAUACACUUUCAAAGCUCAGACAGGACUGUGCCAUUAUUUUGAGCGCUCAGAUUUUGGAGUUUCAAUAACAGGAUUUGCUGCAUAUGAUUUCAGUGGUCAAGAAGAGGAAAUGAUGAGGAUGCUUGUCAGCUGGGGCCCUUUGGCAGUGACAGUCGAUGCCAUUAGCUGGCAGGAUUAUCUCGGUGGAAUCAUACAAUAUCACUGCUCCAGUGGAAGACCAAAUCAUGCUGUUCUUAUCACUGGUUUUGACAGAACAGGUAGCAUUCCUUACUGGAUUGUACAGAACUCUUGGGGGCCGACAUGGGGAAUAGAUGGAUACGUUCGUGUUAAGAUGGGCGGCAAUGUCUGUGGUAUUGCAGAUACAGUUUCAGCAGUAUUUGUUUGACAUUCCUCUGGGCCUCUACAACUGGUCAAAGACCACAAUUAUCAUGAGGACAGACACUGUAUAUGAAGAUGGAAUUCAAAACACCAUUUUCAAAUAUAAGAAACAGCUGUAAGGGCAAUUCCUGCAACUCCUGGCUGAAGUUUUUAAAAAUGUUUUUAUUUUGAAUUUCUGUUGAAUGCUAAAUUUCUCAUGGAUUAAGACGACUCAUCUGAAGAGUGCACAAAUAGAAGCUACAAAGAUGGACUGAAGCCUCAAAUGUGCAGGCUUUAAGAAGCCAGCCAAGAGCUAAAUUGGUCAUUGGGCUGAAUUGGGGUAUCAUCUUACUCUUAAUAUAGGCUAACUCAAUACAGAUUUAUUUUUUCUACAAGCAAUUAAUUUCUUCCACAGGCCAAUUGUACUAUUCACAAAGCUGUCAUACAUAAAUACAUAUUUACACACCCACACUCUUUGCUGGCAACACCACUGAAGGUGAAAGUCAGGAAGUUCUUUACAGCAACAGUGUAGAAAGGCAAGCUAGUCAGAGUCAUCACUGCUGAAGUAGGAGCUGUCACAGUAUUCUGCUGUGUAAAGGAAUUUAUGAAUGCUGGGGUUCAUCUUUGGUAUCCAGUGUCGUGGGACUAGAAAUGUUGAAAGAUUGAACAAAUCCACAAACACCUUGUAUCUGUCACUGAAAAAGACAAUUGGAACAAUAAUUCCAUCAGCAGAGAAGGCCAUAGUUUCUAAAUCCUCAGUAAUCAGUCCUUCUCGUGCAAAUAACAAGAUUCCUUGCACUAACCCUCCUGAAUAUUGCAGAGCAGGAAUCCAGUCCUGACUUCCUAGGGUAUAGCAGAUUAGGCAUAAUAGGGAUCUAUAGUAACAUUUUUCUUCUGAAAAUGCAGAGUCCAUAGGGUAUGAUCUCUAGCAGAAUUUAUCUAGGAACAAUAAUGUUAACCUGACAUAAAGGUAGAGUGGGAGAGCUUUCUAAGAAAGACAGUGGGCAUUCAACCCUCAGUAUCGGCCUAACCAUCUGCUUUCUGCCCUGCCCUCUGUUCCAGUGGUUGUGAUAAUAGUUGCUCACUGCUCUUUUGAGAGCAAACUUCAAAGAUCCUUUUUGAAGGAUGUUGUGCAAUUAGAGGUCAUGCUAAGGAAUAAAGAAACUGUCACACAGUAGCUGGGGCUCACUUCCAGCCUGUGUCACCUCAUUAACUUGGGCUAGCUGGCACACCAACUGAACAAUGCAGGGUUCAUAUUAUUGCUAUCACUGUAAUGCCUGCACUCCCUAACUGAGAAUUACGGAUGGCACUUUGCAUGAAUGAUCAAAAGGAGUUCUUUUUGCCCUAGAAAGCUUGAAAUUUACAUGUCACUGAUAAAUAAAUGUACAACAACCAAGGAGAGAUAGAGUCCUAGAAGAGAGUCAGCAGCCCUUUGGCCUCCAGUGAGCCAUCUGAAUUUUAUCUCCCAGUAUCAGAGUAUUUAUGCACUGCAUUGUUGCUGGUAACAGGGGAAACACAUUAUUUCUACCUCACUGUUGAGCGCAAGUAGUGGUAGCCUGAUGAGCCUCCAGUGCCAGCCUUGCCACCAAUCAUUCUGUGCACCAAACAGACAUGGUUAUCUAAUGAUAAAACAGGAGAAAAUAGCACACGUUCAGUAUUUCAAUAUAACUAAAGGGUCACACUUACUGAAGGUCAUUCAGAGAUCUUUACAGGGAUACAGAACUAUUAGGUCUUCAGCAAUGCAGGAGUUAAUUCUGCCAUUCUUCAGUCAAUUAAUAUAAAAUUAUUGUUAAUUCAGAAUGAAUAGGCUAAUUAUUACACAUUACUGUGCUCUGUUAAUACAGAAUUAUGCAUUCAUUUACAUAUGUCUAGAUAGGGAAGGAGGCAAAAGGAAUGUUUGGAUAUAAAGACAUGACAUUAUGACUUUUGGGAUACAUUGAAAAUUAGAUACCUGUCCCUUAAUAAGAUAGUACACUUAAAUCAGGUCAGAGAAGUGGUAGCUAUACCCAUGUACCUAAUGAUCACAGAAGCAGCUCUUUCUCUUUCCUCCUGAAGUACAAACUAAAGUAAUUCCUAAAGCAUGAACUCCAAAGCUGAAUUCUAAGACUGGGUGUAACUCAGAACAAUUUAUUUGCAUCUAGAAGAGGGAGCGUCACAGUCAAAAAAGUCAAACUUACAUCUCCAUUUAGUCAUGAGCACAUCGAGAUCCAUAAGGGAGGUGAGGAGCUGAAAGGGAACCUGGAAACGAGGCUCCUCCCUUGGAAAAUGAAAGAGAAGACAGUGAGACCUCUCAGCAUAUGCUGUAUUUUUCAAAGUUGCAUUUCAUCAGUGCUUAGUGACUUAAAGCAUGCUUGUCAUAAACUGGUACUGGAAUAUCACUAGAUAUUUUAACAAAUGCUUCUGCUGUGUAAAUCCUGAUCUGCCCCUUUAUUUUUGAACCUGAAAAAGGAUUCCAGAUCUUUCUAGGACAGGUAGAACAAGGCAUUUACUUGUUACAAUCUGAGAAGCAGCAUCUGGUCAAGCUGCCCAGAGGGGAUGUGCAACCUCCCAUCCCUGAGAUACUCAGAACUCAUCAGGACAUGGUGCUGAGCAGCCUGGUCUGACCUUCAAGCUGUGUCUGACUAAUCAAGGUUCCUGUGGAGGGCUGAAAUAGAUGGAUUCCCACAGCUCAUUCCAGCCUAACUAAACCUGUGCUGCUGUUCUUAACCUCUCUCCUGGCAGUCUCCAUCAAAGACACAUCUUACAACAUCACCUGUAAAAGUAGAUCAUCAAGGCCCCCUUCAGUGCUUUGUAGGACAGCCGUCUGUCUCCUGCAAAAUACAAGUGUCCUCAGUUUGCUGCUCACUCUCCUGCAACUUUAAUGCUAUAACAAACAUUUAUAAACAACAUGUAUAAAACAUACAAAGUGCAUAUUCACAUGUGGUAAUAAAAUCUACCUUUACUGAGCA